RNAcentral lists this long non-coding RNA (648 nucleotides) under Marmota monax (woodchuck). Lineage: Eukaryota; Metazoa; Chordata; Mammalia; Rodentia; Sciuridae. The record is from RNAcentral.
AUUUAUACCUCAAAUAUUCUUUAUGCCCAACACAAAAAUUAAGGAGUUCUCUAAACCUGUUUAUUCAUUAAUUCAAGUUUGGGAAUAUUAAAUGAAUCAAUUUGAACAUGAACACUAAACUGCCACAUUUUUUCUUCUGUGCUUUCACUUCUCAGUUACUGAAAUUUUAAUAGAUAGAAUAGAAAUAAUAUAUUAGCAAACAGGGAGAUAUAUAACAUUUUGAUGUCGGUAAAUUAACUUUGGAGUGAAUUACACUAAUGUAAGCACAGCAGCACCACUAGAGUUAAGAUGCACAGCAUAGGGAAGGUACCAGUGUUCCAAGAGUCAGGUAUUGGGUUAAAAAUAACUUCCUUAUGGUUAAUUUGUGUUCAAAGUCCUCCCCCCCCCCACUUCUUCCUGUUUAUAUAUGGUCAAGUCUAUAUGUAAUUAAGGAGAAGCACCGACUUAAAUGUGUUUGUACAUUGUGUAAUUAUUCUCAACAUUUGUUUAAUGGUCCCAAAAUAACUGUCUCCGAGAAGUGAUACUUUAUAUUCCUGAUACGUUGUCAAUACAAAAAAAAAAAAUCUUAUAUAACUCGAAUGUUUUUCAGGCAACUUGAAAACCUGGGAAAUGUAUAGUGAAUAAAUACGGCCACCUUUUCUGGGUCCC